Molecule: long non-coding RNA, 1179 nt
Filed under: Olea europaea subsp. europaea
Lineage: Eukaryota; Viridiplantae; Streptophyta; Magnoliopsida; Lamiales; Oleaceae
Source: RNAcentral
CAAAUACAAACAAUCCCAUUUAAAUCUCAAAAUGAAAUAACUUUCCUUAUCAGAUUUUCCAACACAGUUAAAAAAAAUUUCCUCUUCCAUCUGCUUGAACGUUGAAAUCUCAAAAAAUUAUCAAAGGCUCUACAAAACAAUAUUACUCACAAUCGGCACUUGAAAUUGGUAAGUAUAAAUACGUAUGUUUAAUUUCAUUUUAGUUAAAUUAGUAGAUUAUUUGAAUAUUUAAAUUUUAUUUCAACAUAUAAUUUUAGAAAGAUAAAAUAUUACAGCCUUAAAUGGAUGUAUAAUUUUUUUUAGCAAAAACGAGGAAAAAAAUUCAUCUGUUCAGAUACAAAAUGUAGAAGGCAGUAAGCCAAAAAGUGGCCGGGCCGGAUGUUUAAUAGCCGGCCUGGACACUUUUUUUCCUUGUGUCAUAUUUUUUUCGUCCUUUUAUUCUCGUAAUUACAAUUUUUUUAAUAAAUGAUGUUUCCUAAUGCAGAUAUAGGAUCAACUGCUGUUCCGAUUUGUUACUUUGGUGAAUUUGAAAAUAAUGACAAUGAUCGAUGAGUGUGGAAAUGGACGAGUGAAAAACAUGGUUGUACUGCAAUUGCAAUAACAUCAAGUACAUCAUAUGCAGAAAUGUACAAUGAGAUACAGAACUUGCUGAAAGUCGAUUCCUCUGAGUACCCCAUGGAAUUGGGAUUUCUAAUGGGCGAGAAUACAUUCAUUUCAAUUCCACCUAUAAUGAUUACUUCUGAAGCUGAAAUGAAGGUUUUAAUUGAAAUGAACCAGGAACGUGCGAUUCCUAUUUGCGUAACUUUGAUGAAGAAUAAUGUCCCUGAGAGUGAACACGAAGAUUUCAAUGGAGAGGAUCGUAAUGUGAAUGAUUUUUGGGACACAGUGGAAAUAAUGUGUGAUGAUGUUGUGGCUGUUCCAGAAACAGUUGCUUCUCACCAUGAUCUCAUUGUUAUACACAGAAUUUGCUCGGUAGUUCAAGACAACGAAAGAGAUAAUGACUUUACAAAUGAGAGUUUGAUUGUUUUAUCCCGUUUGAGACAUGAGUCGAGUGGGAGCUUACAUGCUGGACAGAGUGCACGGUCCUCUAAUUGUUCGCAUAUAGUUCCCGAUGAUGAAGAUUUGUAUGUCGAGCAACAGUUUGACAUGAAGAAAGAUUUGCAGGAAGCUGUUCACCGG